Molecule: long non-coding RNA, 1836 nt
Organism: Cynocephalus volans (Philippine flying lemur)
Lineage: Eukaryota; Metazoa; Chordata; Mammalia; Dermoptera; Cynocephalidae
Exons: 5
Source: RefSeq, a predicted model, not a curated record
GUUCGUCUCUGGGCCCCUUCCGGCCGCGGCCUUCGAUCCCGGAGUUGGCCCUUGGGCUCGAAACCGGGGACCGGGCUGGCACACCUGCCCAGGUGCGUUCCCGGCGCCGGGAGCCCGCCGCGAGGUGCCGCUGUCCUCCCAGCCGUCACGCCCUCGGGAUUGGUCUCACCCGCCCGACCGAGAGCACCACUCACCCUGCACAGCCACGAGAAUCCGAGCACCUCUGAGACCCCUCGCUGCCUUGGCUGCCGCUACCACCACCCUUCCACCCUGAGCCUCUAAAAACUAACACUUCCGGCCUCCCUUUAGCAAACCGGAAGGAAGCCCCGUCACCAUUCUCGGCCAACAAAGUGGUCCUGACUUAAUGGGAAGGCGACAGGGAGGGACGUUGCCACUGUGAUCUGCGGACUCAAUAUUGACCUAGUGCACGGGAAGGAAGUGUAAAGCGGCCCACUUAGAACAAAGAGGAAUUUUUAAUGGUUCUUUGGGUCCUGAGUUUCCAUCUUUUUUGUAACUAUUCUUGCAACGUAAGGCUUCCUCCCCCCCCUUUCCUGUGCGCAGAUGGUUGCGUCCGUCCUAUGGCUUAGCCCCUCCGCACAUUCCAGGGCGCGGCGAGGGGCGGGGCCAGUUAGCCCAAGUCCUUGUAGGGAAAUCGCCGAGACGACUGCGGGGCCCACGUGGCUCGUGCUCGCCCCGCCCCCGAACGUCGGGCUUCUGGCGCCCGGAGGUAGUGCCCCUGCGCAGGGGCUGGGACUCCGCAUGAAGGUCCGGAGCGGAGCGUGCCAGGGAGGUGACCUUUGCGCCAGGGAUUUGAGUGUGCGGUGUUGUUUUGUGAAGAGGCUCACUCCUUCCACACCGGAGGAAACAUUGUGAAGUCCCGAGGGCCCUCGGCCAAGUGCCCGCUGUCUUUUUGCCUCAGACAUAUUUCACAAAGUCACGAGUGGCUGGAGCCUUCCUCCCUCUCAGAAGCGUGUCCUGUUAGUUUUCCUCCCAGAACCCCUUUGGUCCUAACUAGAGGAGUCUGGUUUGGAUCCGACUAGGAAGGGAGACAGGCGACUCUUGCCCCCAUCUUCACUAUCAUGAUGACUCACGGCUUGGUGAAAACAGGAAUAAAAAGUUGGGCCUGUUUUUUUCCUCGGCUCUCCUCGCCUAGGACAGCUUCUAGCAGUGUCUCUCGUUUAAGGAUGAGAAACCCCUCCCCGAUUCUACAUUUUCCGUCCAGUCUUGUGAGGAAGACCGUGGUGGUUGUCACCUCAGCUCCCUGACCUCAUCUACGAGAGGUGAGAGUGGGAUCCGGUAACCCUCCGAUCAUCAUCCCAGCACUAAGUCUAGUGACUGGUUUGGUUCACGUGGCCAGAACAUUUCUGAGUUUGGAGUUACCCGAUGGUCUUCCCCUUAAACUUCGGCUCUCGGUUGAACCAUUCUCCUAAAAAAAGAAGGGAAAGAGAUGCUCUAGUCUCUUGCAGACUUUCCAGCAAGGCUUAAUUCCACUAAAAUCUACCUUGGGAAAAUACAAGUAUCUACUUUGUCAGCACCUAGUGCUGAUUCAGUAAAGCAUCAAAGCACUGGUCUGCCAAUGCUACUCAGUAACCCCUGAAAGGCCAAAGAGUCAGAGACUACCUUUCAGAGAUGUUUGUAUAGAGCACAGCCUUGAAGAAAGACAAAGUGCCUCCCUCCAGAACACAAGAUAUGAAGCAACUUACCAUUUUCUCUAGAGAAACAGCUCACUGGGAACCAUCCAGUGGCUGGUGAAUUAAUCUUGAGAAGAAUCACUGCGUUCUGUAUUGGAUGUUGUAUUAGUCCAUUUUCUGUUGCCGAUAACAGAAUACCUGAAAC